AGUGAACGCUGGCGGUAGGCCUAACACAUGCAAGUCGAACGGCAGCACAGUAAGAGCUUGCUCUUACGGGUGGCGAGUGGCGGACGGGUGAGGAAUACAUCGGACUCUACUUUUUCGUGGGGGAUAACGUAGGGAAACUUACGCUAAUACCGCAUACGACCUACGGGUGAAAGCAGGGGAUCUUCGGACCUUGCGCGAUUGAAUGAGCCGAUGUCGGGUUAGCUAGUUGGCGGGGUAAAGGCCCACCAAGGCGACGAUCCGUAGCUGGUCUGAGAGGAUGAUCAGCCACACUAGAGCUGAGACACGGUCCAGACUCCUACGGGAGGCAGCAGUGGGGAAUAUUGGACAAUGGGCGCAAGCCUGAUCCAGCCAUACCGCGUGGGUGAAGAAGGCCUUCGGGUUGUAAAGCCCUUUUGUUGGGAAAGAAAAGCAGCAGGUUAAUACCCCGCUGUUCUGACGGUACCCAAAGAAUAAGCACCGGCUAACUUCGUG
Molecule: ribosomal RNA, 492 nt
Filed under: uncultured bacterium
Lineage: Bacteria
Description: partial 16S ribosomal RNA
Rfam family: Bacterial small subunit ribosomal RNA
Source: RNAcentral